GGCCAUGGUGAAAAGGAAAAAAACAAGGUGAAACAUCCGGCCAUGGCC
Molecule: small RNA, 48 nt
Filed under: Salix viminalis (osier)
Lineage: Eukaryota; Viridiplantae; Streptophyta; Magnoliopsida; Malpighiales; Salicaceae
Source: RNAcentral